This 249-nucleotide ribosomal RNA is filed under the name Triticum aestivum (bread wheat). RNAcentral's name for it is "partial small subunit ribosomal RNA". Lineage: Eukaryota; Viridiplantae; Streptophyta; Magnoliopsida; Poales; Poaceae. The record is from RNAcentral.
AUGGUUGAAGCCUUGGCACUCAAAUUCGGUCUAUCAUUGGUGCAAAGGUCAAGAUGCAAUCACCUUAUUAUUAACUCAGACGUGAUUGAUACCAUGAAGGAUGGAGGACGGUCGGCGGGUGCAGCAGCGGCAAUUUUCGGUGAUUGUUUUCACUAUGCUUGUGAUUUUAUUAUUACUAGGUUCGAACAUUGUAACAUAGAAGCAAAUAAAGUUGCUCAUGAGCUUUCUAAAUCAGCUAGAUUUCUUUGA